This 457-nucleotide long non-coding RNA is filed under the name Elaeis guineensis (African oil palm). RNAcentral's name for it is "long non-coding RNA (EGUI_LNC059594)". The record is from RNAcentral. Lineage: Eukaryota; Viridiplantae; Streptophyta; Magnoliopsida; Arecales; Arecaceae.
GGUCCAGGAUAGGUGAGAUUAGGUCGAGUCAUGGGUGUACAUGGGCUUGGGUUAACCUAAUCUCUCAUAGAGUUGAUCAAGGGAGUUUUGGGUUUGGGUCACUUGAUCCUGUGUUUAUAUAUACAUGUACUUGUAUAGGUUUGAUCAAGACAAAGAAAAUACAGACUCUUUCUCCCAAGUCUCUCUCUUUCUUCUUCCUCUCUCUCCAGCCAUUCUCCAUGCCCCAGGAGCAAGAAACCCUAGGGUUUCUUGCCGCCAGGUCCAUAAAAGGAAAGAAAAGCAAGGAGGCGCUAGCCCCUUCCCCCUUGCAGCCGUCGACUCUCUCUCUUCUCCCUCUCUUGCAGCCAUCUAAACAUCAGAUCCAAGACCUAGAAUCUCUUGAAAAAAGGUUAAUACAAGUCCAUCUCAGAUCUGGAGUUGAUCUGAGGUCGUUUGAGGUGCGGGUGAGAUCUCCAUC